Molecule: long non-coding RNA, 2569 nt
Filed under: Mus musculus (house mouse)
Lineage: Eukaryota; Metazoa; Chordata; Mammalia; Rodentia; Muridae
Description: long non-coding RNA chr9:65938598-65941167
Source: RNAcentral
UACCUGCCUUAGCUCCCCAAGUGCUGGGAUCAAAGGCUUGUGCCACGAUGCCCAGGUGUGUAGGCUUUGCUUUAAGUAAUCUAAACAAAAUCUAUACCUUUAUCUCUUUCAUAUAAGCUAUGAAGUUUUUUUUAAAAAGCAAAUAAUGUCGGUUUAUAGGAAAAAAGAAAUUAAAUAUAACUUCAUUCUAGGCAGGCAGGUAAAAUUACAUUUGUUUAACUGUAGUCAGUGGUUAAUAAAUACUUAUUUGAGAUGGUCAGAUGUUAAAUUAAAAAGUAAUAGCAGUAUUAAAGUGAGUUGUAGCUUUUGAAGAUGUGUGUUUCAGGUAACUAUCAGGUACCAAAUGAUAGAUAAAGCAGUGAAGGAGUACUCAAGAUGAGAGUUAGAGCAGGGGCAAAGCAGGUAGUUAGGUGGCAGCCGCUGCACGUUCCGUCUUGAAAAACUGACUGGAACAACUUGUUUUGAAUGUACUAUGUAAGAAUAUCUUUUAUACCUGAAAACCUUAAUAGGGCAUGGCUGCUAAUGCUUCUAACUCCCCACAAGUAGUAUGUGAAGGCCUGACAAUAAAUUUCAAGGCUGUACUUGCAUACAUAGUUUUAGGCUAGCCAGCCAGCCUGAGCUAUCAAUCUCUUUAUAAAGGGGUCAGGGACAAACAGCUUAUCUUGGACCUUUGGGAGGAAAAAUCCAGAGGACUUCUUGACUAGUUUAUGCAUACAAUAUGAAGGAGAAAAGCAUAUGGCAAGACUCACGUUACCUUAAGAUUCUGUAGUGCAUGAAAGAUUUUAAAAAUGUAGCAUAGGGAUUUCAGAAGACAAUAUACUUACUCAGGAUUUUAGGUAUAAAAAGUAUGAUAAAAUGGUACAUAAGGUCAAAUUAGAGUGUAGCCUGCACACCUAGAAAACUUGUUUCUCUCUUGGGUCGUCAACAGUUUUGUGGAAAAUUCAGAAAAAGACUUCAGACUUUGUUUUUAAGGUCAUUAUAACAACUCUUCUUGAUUCCAGCAGCUGUGGCUUGCUUAAACAAAAUCUAGUGAUGUGGUUGUUUAUGAUUUUAAGACCUUUUUUAUUAUUACCUCUAUUUUGAGAUAAUAUCUCACAGUGUAGCCCAGGCUAGUCUUGAACUUUGUCUUGUUUCCCCAGCUGAGUUUAUAGAUGUGUAUCACCAUGUCCCACUAGAGUGUUAAAUCCAAGAACUUUUAACUGAAAAUUUCAGUGCUGGUGUCCUUAGCCUACCUAGUGCAGUAUCAGAUGCCAGUGUAUUCAUACCUGAAGUAUGUGACAGUUUUGUGAUACAGUCUUUUCCCAUUAUGUUACAAAACCAUGUGUUUGUCAUACAAAUGCUUCCUUCCAUUAUCUCAAUGUUUCUGCUUGUAUAAUGCAUUAAAUUAUUGUUUUGGCUUUAACAUUGAGAAGUGGGAAAUUUCCUUUCCUUUCUUUCUCCUCCUCCCCCAUACUUUUCUCUCUCUUUUUUGGGGGUGUUUUGAGACAAGGUUUUUGUUUGCAGCCGCACCUGUCCUGGAAAUCAUUCUGUAGACCAAGCUAGCCUCAAACUCAUAGAGGUCCACCUGCCUCUGUCUCCUGAGUGCUGGAAUUGAAGACCACUACCUGACAGGAAUUUCUCUUUGAAUAAGAAGUAAAUAUUAAACUUAAAGGGUUAACAGUACUAAUCAUACUUUUCUGAAUUUCUCUGUGAGACACAUAAUAAUUUGGGUGAAGAAAGCACUUCUGAGCAGGGAGUGGUAGCAGGUAGCAGGUAGCAUAGACUGUAUCUAGCCUUUGGAUCGAUCUAGGGCAUCUUUGGCUACGUAAUAAGUUCCAGAGCAGUCUGGGCUAUAUGGGAUGUUGUUUGGCUGUUUGUUUGUUUGUUUGUUUUUUUAAUCAAAUAAGGAUAACGAUAUUUUUAUUUUAAAGAAGAUAAGUUUUGUGAGUCUCAUCCUUGGUGAUUUUCUUUUUUCUUUCUUUCUUUUUCUUUUUUUCCCUUUUUUUUUUUUUUUUUUUUUUUUGUUGUUGUUGUUGUUACUGGAUCUCACUGUGUUUCCAGACUGGCCUCAAGUUUUAAAGUUCCUGCCUCAGCCUCCUAAGUGUUAUUAUUAUUAAAGGCAUGCACCAACACCACCAGACUGGCUUUGGCUUUAAGAGCAACAUUUUUCUUUUUAAAGAAUUUAUUAUUUCCGGGCAGUGGUGGGACAUGCCUUUAAUCACAGCACUUGGGAGCCAAAGGCAGGCAGAUCUCUGAGUUUAAGGGUAGCCUGGGCUACAGAGAGAUUUCUAGGACAACCAGGGCUGCACCGAGAAAUCCUGUCCCCCAAACAAACAAACAAACAAACAAACGAAAAGAAAACUUUUAUAAGUUACUCUGUGUGUGUGUGUGUGUGUGUGUGUGUGUUUACGUGUGUAUGCACCUGUGUUUGUAUGUGUGUCGUUAUCUACAUAUGUAUGGAGGCCAGGAAAGGCAGGCUUAAGUUUAUAGUCUUGCUGUCUUGUGUCAACCUUUUGAGUAUUGGGUUUACAGCUGUUUACAACCACACAGCAGAAGCCUAUAGUUUUAAAAGCUGCUCAACUAGUUUUGC